CGCUGGCGGCGUGCCUAACACAUGCAAGUCGAGCGGGACAUGCGACGGAAAUGAAGUUUCGGAUGGAUUGAAGAUGUAUUGUCUAGCGGCGGACGGGUGAGUAACGCGUGAGCAACCUGUCCCUUACAGGGGGAUAACACAGCGAAAGUUGUACUAAUACCGCAUAAGACCACGGAGUCACAUGGCUCAGGGGUCAAAGGAGCAAUCCGGUAAGGGGUGGGCUCGCGUCCGAUUAGAUAGUUGGUGAGGUAACGGCCCACCAAGUCGACGAUCGGUAGCCGACCUGAGAGGGUGAUCGGCCACAUUGGGACUGAGACACGGCCCAAACUCCUACGGGAGGCAGCAGUGGGGAAUAUUGGGCAAUGGGGGGAAACCCUGACCCAGCAACGCCGCGUGAGGGAAGAAGGUUUUCGGAUCGUAAACCUCUGUCCUUGGUGAAGAGGAAGAGACGGUAGCCAAGGAGGAAGCCCCGGCUAACUACGUGCCAGCCGCCGC
RNAcentral lists this ribosomal RNA (495 nucleotides) under uncultured bacterium. Its description in RNAcentral is "bacterial SSU rRNA". It matches the Rfam family "Bacterial small subunit ribosomal RNA", at positions 34 to 518 of the family's 1533-position model. The record is from RNAcentral.